RNAcentral lists this ribosomal RNA (369 nucleotides) under uncultured eukaryote. RNAcentral's name for it is "SSU rRNA". It matches the Rfam family "Eukaryotic small subunit ribosomal RNA", at positions 587 to 972 of the family's 1831-position model. The record is from RNAcentral.
AGCUCCAAUAGCGUAUAUUAAAGUUGUUGCAGUUAAAAAGCUCGUAGUUGGACCUUAGGCAAGGCGGCCUGGUCACCCUCUGGGUGUACUGGGAUCGCUGCGCCUCACCUUCGGGGAGCUAGUCGUGCUUCGGUGCGCUAGGGAACCGAGCCUUACCUUGAGGAAAUUAGAGUGUUUAAAGCAGGCUUAUGCUUGAAUACGUUUGCAUGGAAUAACAUGAUAGGACUUUGGUUCUAUUUUGUUGGUUUGAGGACCAAAGUAAUGAUUAAUAGGGACAGUUGGGGGCAUUAGUAUUCAAUAGUCAGAGGUGAAAUUCUUGGAUUUAUUGAAGACUAACUAAUGCGAAAGCAUUUGCCAAGGAUGUUUUCA